Molecule: ribosomal RNA, 1232 nt
Filed under: fermentation metagenome
Description: bacterial LSU rRNA
Rfam family: Bacterial large subunit ribosomal RNA
Source: RNAcentral
UGAGAUAAGUCUCAUUGUCAAAAGGGAAACAGCCCAGAUCUACAGCUAAGGUCCCCAAUAUAUGCUAAGUGGAGAAGGAUGUGGCGAUGUAAAAACAACCAGGAUGUUGGCUUAGAAGCAGCCACACAUUAAAAGAGUGCGUAACAGCUCACUGGUCGAAUGACGCUGCGCCGAAGAUUUAACGGGGCUAAGCAUAUAACCGAAGCUUAGGCAGUAAAAAAUACUGGGUAGGGGAGCGUUGUGUACUGGGUGAAGCCAUAGCGCAAGCAGUGGUGGACGGUACAGAAGUGAGAAUGCCGGAAUAAGUAGCGAGAAUUGCGUGAGAAUCGUAAUGGCCGAAAAUCUAAGGUUUCUUGGGGCAGGUUCGUCCGCCCAAGGUAAGCCGGGAGCUAAGGCGAGGCCGAAAGGCGUAGUCGAUGCACAUACGGUAGAGAAUCCGUAGCCGUCAAAAGAUUUAAGUAUGCUGACACCGAGAGCGAAUCCAACCCGGGCGAUGGUAGCCCCGGGCGAAAGGGACUGAAAUUAGAGUAGGGAAGUGGAUGAAGGCUCGGGCGAGAAAAGGCAUAUGAAUAUCUGCGAUGUCCGUACCGCAAACCGACACAGGUAGAUGGGAAGAGAAUUCUAAGGCCAACGGGAGAAGGGUUGUUAAGGAACUCGGCAAAUUAACCCCGUAACUUCGGGAGAAGGGGAGCCUCGAAAGAGGCCGCAGUGAAAAGGCCCAGGCGACUGUUUAGCAAAAACACAGGUCUCUGCAAAACCGAAAGGUGAAGUAUAGGGGCUGACGCCUGCCCGGUGCUGGAAGGUCAAGGGGAAGUGUAAGGAGCAAUCCGAAGCACAGAACUUAAGCCCCAGUAAACGGCGGCCGUAACUAUAACGGUCCUAAGGUAGCGAAAUUCCUUGUCAGGUAAGUUCUGACCCGCACGAAUGGCGUAACGAUCUGGGCACUGUCUCAACAGCCCGCCCGGCGAAAUUGUAGUACCGGUGAAGAUGCCGGUUACCCGCGACUAGACGGAAAGACCCCAUGGAGCUUUACUGCAGCUUGAUACUGAGCCUCGGUAUAUUAUGUACAGGAUAGGUGGGAGACAGAGAAGCAUGCGCGUCAGCGUGUGCGGAGUCGCCGUUGGGAUACCACUCUUGAUGUACUGAGGUUCUAACCUACACUGCUGAAUCGCGGUGGGGGACAAUGUCAGGUGGGCAGUUUGACUGGGGCGGUCGCCUCCAAAAGAGUAACG